UCCGAUAUGGUCUAGUGGCUAGGAUUCCUGGUUUUCACCCAGGCGGCCCGGGUUCAAUUCCCGGUAUCGGAG
Varroa destructor (honeybee mite) is the source of this 72-nucleotide non-coding RNA. The record is from the annotation of a RefSeq genome assembly. Lineage: Eukaryota; Metazoa; Arthropoda; Arachnida; Mesostigmata; Varroidae.